This is a long non-coding RNA of Gymnogyps californianus (California condor), 289 nucleotides long. RefSeq lists it as uncharacterized. The record is from RefSeq and is a predicted model, not a curated record. NCBI's taxonomy places the organism in Eukaryota, Metazoa, Chordata, Aves, Accipitriformes, Cathartidae. The transcript is spliced from 3 exons.
UGAUGCUGGUGGAGCAGGAGCUGCGCAGGGAUCACUUGGGCGCCCACGACCCCCCCGAGGGCCGGCGGCGGCUGCUCGACGCUCAGCUGUCCGUCAGGUAGCGCGGGCCAGCCCUGCCAUUGUCACGGGACCCUCGGCCUCCGGUGACACGCCAGGAGAGGCAGCUUUCCGCCGUGGGUGCAGCAGACCCGGGUGUGAGCUGGGUCGGGGGGUCCCCGCGCGACCCCCGCCUCCGCCCCCGCCACCCCCGAUCACGGCCAACGGCGAGCUGCGCGGCCCGCUGCUGAGC